UGGGGAAUUGUUCGCAAUGGGCGCAAGCCUGACGACGCAACGCCGCGUGGAGGAUGAAGGUCUUCGGAUUGUAAACUCCUGUUGACCGGGAAGAAUUCCCCUGGGGUUAACACCCCUGGAGGUUGACGGUACCGGUUGAGGAAGCCCCGGCUAACUCUGUGCCAGCAGCCGCGGUAAUACAGAGGGGGCGAGCGUUGUUCGGAAUUACUGGGCGUAAAGGGCGCGUAGGCGGCCGACUAAGUCAGACGUGAAAUCCCCUGGCUCAACCAGGGAACUGCGUCUGAUACUGGCUGGCUUGAAUCCGGGAGAGGGAUGUGGAAUUCCAGGUGUAGCGGUGAAAUGCGUAGAUAUCUGGAGGAACACCGGUGGCGAAGGCGGCAUCCUGGACCGGUAUUGACGCUGAUGCGCGAAAGCCAGGGGAGCAAACGGG
Molecule: ribosomal RNA, 430 nt
Filed under: uncultured Acidobacteriota bacterium
Lineage: Bacteria; Pseudomonadati; Acidobacteriota
Description: bacterial SSU rRNA
Rfam family: Bacterial small subunit ribosomal RNA
Source: RNAcentral